GUCGAACGAAGCUCUGCGAUACAAGACUUCGGUCAAGUUGAACGGAUGACUUAGUGGCGGACGGGUGAGUAACGCGUGAGGAACCUGCCUUUCAGUGGGGGACAACAGUUGGAAACGACUGCUAAUACCGCAUAAUGUAUUCUGACCGCAUGAUCGGAAUACCAAAGAUUUAUUGCUGAAAGAUGGCCUCGCGUCUGAUUAGAUAGUUGGUGAGGUAACGGCCCACCAAGUCGACGAUCAGUAGCCGGACUGAGAGGUUGAACGGCCACAUUGGGACUGAGAUACGGCCCAGACUCCUACGGGAGGCAGCAGUGGGGAAUAUUGGGCAAUGGGGGAAACCCUGACCCAGCAACGCCGCGUGAAGGAAGAAGGCUUUCGGGUUGUAAACUUCUUUUACCAGGGACGAAGGACGUGACGGUACCUGGAGAAAAAGCCACGGCUAACUACGUGCCAGCAGCCGCGGUAAUACGUAGGUGGCAAGCGUUGUCCGGAUUUACUGGGUGUAAAGGGCGUGUAGGCGGAGAAGCAAGUCAGAAGUGAAAUCCAUGGGCUUAACCCAUGAACUGCUUUUGAAACUGUUUCCCUUGAGUAUCGGAGAGGCAGGCGGGAAU
This 611-nucleotide ribosomal RNA is filed under the name uncultured Oscillospiraceae bacterium. RNAcentral's name for it is "bacterial SSU rRNA". It matches the Rfam family "Bacterial small subunit ribosomal RNA", at positions 61 to 668 of the family's 1533-position model. The record is from RNAcentral. Lineage: Bacteria; Bacillati; Bacillota; Clostridia; Eubacteriales; Oscillospiraceae.